GGGGAUUUAGCUCAGUGGUAGAGCACUUGCCUAGCAAGCACAAGGCCCUGGGUUCGUUCCCCAGCUCCG
RNAcentral lists this transfer RNA (69 nucleotides) under Rattus norvegicus (Norway rat). It matches the Rfam family "tRNA". Rfam says of the family: Transfer RNA (tRNA) molecules are approximately 80 nucleotides in length. Their secondary structure includes four short double-helical elements and three loops (D, anti-codon, and T loops). Further hydrogen bonds mediate the characteristic L-shaped molecular structure. tRNAs have two regions of fundamental functional importance: the anti-codon, which is responsible for specific mRNA codon recognition, and the 3' end, to which the tRNAs corresponding amino acid is attached (by aminoacyl-tRNA synthetases). tRNAs cope with the degeneracy of the genetic code in two manners: having more than one tRNA (with a specific anti-codon) for a particular amino acid; and 'wobble' base-pairing, i.e. permitting non-standard base-pairing at the 3rd anti-codon position. Lineage: Eukaryota; Metazoa; Chordata; Mammalia; Rodentia; Muridae. The record is from Rfam by way of RNAcentral.